Molecule: long non-coding RNA, 862 nt
Organism: Bombus pascuorum
Lineage: Eukaryota; Metazoa; Arthropoda; Insecta; Hymenoptera; Apidae
Exons: 2
Source: RefSeq, a predicted model, not a curated record
UUUGUAAAAUAUUCGCAAUUAAUUAGAAAGCAAAUUAUUUAGAAAAACAAUUAGGCUAAAAUGAUUGUUAAACAUUGAACGAGCACAAGGCAGGAAUUAUUAAUAACUUGAAACUACACGACGUCCGCGAUAGCCGAUAAAAAUUUCAGGACCGGAAGAUUUAAUUGCAGACAGAUGGCAACGUAUCAAAUGUGGAUCGGUAAACGGUUUGAGAGGAUUGCGUUUGUUUCAAGAUUAGAAUAGACAUUUUUUUUUAUCGUUAACACACUCUCCAGGAUUAAAUUUUGAUUUUUGGAACUUUGACUCGUUCUACAAAUAUUUUCCUCGAGGAAGAUAUUUGAUACUUUUUACAAAAUUCUUUUACAAAAUAGAUAUAUCUUUUUUAAUUUUUCUACUUCCUAACAUAAAAAAUCAUGUUUCUUCACAAACAGUGUUCUUCUCUUAAAAAGAAAUUAUCAAUUAAUCCGUCCACUCCAACCUGGUGUUUUUCACGAUUAAGUUUCUCUUGUCCAACUUUUAAGAUUUAAUUCUUUCUGUUAUGCCUGAUUUAUCGAGGUGUGUCUCCCUCCUUCGUAUCAAAGGUUCUCAUUGUGUGUACUGGUUAUUCACUUUUUACGAUAUAAAAUAUAAAACUAACAGCCCGAUUGGAAUUCAUUAACACGUUCGUUGACAGUGGCGGAUAAGGUUGCAUAGAUUUAAUUAUCGUUGUAAUACUGCUGAGACGUGAUCAUUGCAGUUUGCUUUUGCGCAGUCUGAUAAAAAGGACGACGAAUGUAGCGUUAUUUAUAUAAAAAAAAAAAAAAAAAAAAAAAAAAUACUGUAUUCAAAAAUCCGUUAUACGUAAAAUAAGCAUAACAUAAUU